RNAcentral lists this unclassified non-coding RNA (396 nucleotides) under fungal sp. Its description in RNAcentral is "partial internal transcribed spacer region". The stretch from base 1 to 46 matches the Rfam family "Eukaryotic small subunit ribosomal RNA", at positions 1786 to 1831 of the family's 1831-position model. The record is from RNAcentral. Lineage: Eukaryota; Fungi.
AAGUCGUAACAAGGUUUCCGUAGGUGAACCUGCGGAAGGAUCAUUAACACGUUAUCCAACGUUAACCAAUGUCAAUCGUUUUAAAUCUCCCUUCACGGGAAUGAGCGGAAUUAGUAUUCGGAGUUCGUUGAAAGGGCCUGAUUCGUUAGGUGAACUCGUGCUAAGCAUAUUCUAAAUCGAAAGGUUUAGUUAUGACGCUGUAUCUGCAGUGAAGAUUAAAUCUCGCACAGGGCCCACCUUCCUGGGGAACUGUAAGAGAAACCUAUUAACUUAUUUCACCUUUUUGCUAGUUGACUUUUAUAUGUUGUUCUGUUCACCGUUUAUUCUGUGCAGUUCACACGUUUAAUUAUUUGAACGUUAAAAAUACAACUCUUAGCAAUGGAUAUCUUGGUUCUC